RNAcentral lists this ribosomal RNA (88 nucleotides) under Umboniibacter marinipuniceus. Lineage: Bacteria; Pseudomonadati; Pseudomonadota; Gammaproteobacteria; Cellvibrionales; Cellvibrionaceae. The record is from RNAcentral.
CUGAUCCCAUCCCGAACUCAGAAGUGAAACGUUUCAUCGCCGAUGGUAGUGUGGGGUUUCCCCAUGUGAGAGUAGGUCACCGCCAGGC